This 557-nucleotide ribosomal RNA is filed under the name uncultured archaeon. RNAcentral describes it as "bacterial SSU rRNA". It matches the Rfam family "Archaeal small subunit ribosomal RNA", at positions 95 to 656 of the family's 1478-position model. The record is from RNAcentral.
AACACGUACUUUAAAGCCCAGGGGACGUGGAUAACCUCGGGAAACUCUUAUUAAACCGCGAUAGGUCAAGAUUUCUGGAAUGGAUCCUGGCUUAAAUCUACAUGGCCCCUGGAUUGGACUGCGGCCGAUCAGGCUGUUGGUGAGGUAAUGGCCCACCAAACCUAUAACCGGUACGGGCUCUGAGAGGAGAAGCCCGGAGAUGGGCACUGAGACAAGGGCCCAGGCCCUAUGGGGCGCAGCAGGCGCGAAAACUCUGCAAUGGGCGAAAGCCUGACAGAGUUACUCUGAGUGAUUUCCGCUAAGGAGAUCUUUUGGCAGCUCUAAAAAUGGUGCAGAAUAAGGGGUGGGCAAGUCUGGUGUCAGCCGCCGCGGUAAUACCAGCACCCCGAGUGGUCGGGACGAUUAUUGGGCCUAAAGCAUCCGUAGCCGGUUGUGCAAGUCCUCCGUUAAAUCCAGCCGCUCAACGGAUGGGCUGCGGAGGAUACUACAGAACUAGGAGGCGGGAGAGGCAAGCGGUACUUAGUGGGUAGGGGUAAAAUCCUUUGAUCCAUUGAAGA